Molecule: ribosomal RNA, 497 nt
Filed under: uncultured bacterium
Lineage: Bacteria
Description: bacterial SSU rRNA
Rfam family: Bacterial small subunit ribosomal RNA
Source: RNAcentral
GAGUUUGAUCAUGGCUCAGGACGAACGCUGGCGGCGUGCUUAAAACAUGCAAGUCGAACGGGAUUCAGCCUUCGGGCGAAGAUCUAGUGGCGAACGGGUGAGUAACACGUGAGCAACCUACCCCAGAGACCGGGAUAAGCGAGGGAAACUUCGUCUAAUACCGGAUAACCUCCUUCCGCUACUAACGGAUUGAGCAAAUGGUUUUUCGCUUUGGGAUGGGCUCGCGCACUAUCAGCUUGUUGGUGGGGUAAUGGCCUACCAAGGCAUCGACGGUUAGCUGGUCUGAGAGGAUGGUCAGCCACACUGGGACUGAGACACGGCCCAGACUCCUACGGGAGGCAGCAGUUAGGAAUCUUGCGCAAUGGGCGAAAGCCUGACGCAGCAACGCCGCGUGAGGGAUGACGGCUUUCGGGUUGUAAACCUCUUUCAGCAGGAACGAAAUUGACGGUACCUGCAGAAGAAGCACCGGCCAACUACGUGCCAGCCGCCGCAGUAAG